Molecule: ribosomal RNA, 310 nt
Filed under: uncultured eukaryote
Lineage: Eukaryota
Description: partial 18S ribosomal RNA
Rfam family: Eukaryotic small subunit ribosomal RNA
Source: RNAcentral
CCCUUAGAUGUUCUGGGCCGCACGCGCGCUACACUGAUGCAUUCAACGAGCCUAUCCUUGACCGACAGGUCCGGGUAAUCUUUGAAUCUGCAUCGUGACGGGGAUAGAUUAUUGCAAUUAUUAAUCUUCAACGAGGAAUUCCUAGUAGGCGCAAGUCAUCAGCUUGCGUCGAUUACGUCCCUGCCCUUUGUACACACCGCCCGUCGCUCCUACCGAUUGAGUGUUCCGGUGAAUUAUUCGGACUGCAACAGUUAUCUGUCGCGGAAAGUCUUGUGAACCUUAACACUUAGAGGAAGGAAAAGUCGUAACA